RNAcentral lists this transfer RNA (72 nucleotides) under Camelus bactrianus (Bactrian camel). It matches the Rfam family "tRNA". Rfam says of the family: Transfer RNA (tRNA) molecules are approximately 80 nucleotides in length. Their secondary structure includes four short double-helical elements and three loops (D, anti-codon, and T loops). Further hydrogen bonds mediate the characteristic L-shaped molecular structure. tRNAs have two regions of fundamental functional importance: the anti-codon, which is responsible for specific mRNA codon recognition, and the 3' end, to which the tRNAs corresponding amino acid is attached (by aminoacyl-tRNA synthetases). tRNAs cope with the degeneracy of the genetic code in two manners: having more than one tRNA (with a specific anti-codon) for a particular amino acid; and 'wobble' base-pairing, i.e. permitting non-standard base-pairing at the 3rd anti-codon position. The record is from Rfam by way of RNAcentral. Lineage: Eukaryota; Metazoa; Chordata; Mammalia; Artiodactyla; Camelidae. RNAcentral also lists the same sequence under 3 other names.
GAGGGUAUAGCUCAGUGGUAGAGUGCAUGCUUAGCAUGCAAGAGGUCCUGGGUUCAAUCUCUAAUACCUUCA